GGGUGCGAUCAUACCAGCACUAAUGCACCGGAUCCCAACAGAACUCCGCAGUUAAGUGUGCUUGGGCGAGAGUAGUACUAGGAUGGGUGACCUCCCGGGAAGUCCUCGUGUUGCACCCC
Molecule: ribosomal RNA, 119 nt
Filed under: Brassica carinata (Ethiopian mustard)
Lineage: Eukaryota; Viridiplantae; Streptophyta; Magnoliopsida; Brassicales; Brassicaceae
Also listed under: 1 other name
Source: RNAcentral